UGCUCAGCAACUUCUAUCCCUACCUCCUUUUGAUACUGGCCGGGGUACAAGUAACCUUAGGGAAGA
Molecule: non-coding RNA, 66 nt
Organism: Aedes aegypti (yellow fever mosquito)
Lineage: Eukaryota; Metazoa; Arthropoda; Insecta; Diptera; Culicidae
Source: Rfam